UACGGAGGAUCCGAGCGUUAUCCGGAUUUAUUGGGUUUAAAGGGUGCGUAGGCGGCUUAUUAAGUCAGGGGUGAAAGACGGCAGCUCAACUGUCGCAGUGCCUUUGAUACUGAUGAGCUUGAAUGUGAUUGAAGAUGGCGGAAUGAGACAAGUAGCGGUGAAAUGCAUAGAUAUGUCUCAGAACCCCGAUUGCGAAGGCAGUUAUCUAAGCCGUUAUUGACGCUGAUGCACGAAAGCGUGGGGAGCAAACAGG
Molecule: ribosomal RNA, 253 nt
Filed under: uncultured bacterium
Lineage: Bacteria
Description: partial 16S ribosomal RNA
Rfam family: Bacterial small subunit ribosomal RNA
Source: RNAcentral